AGUGAACGCUGGCGGUAGGCCUAACACAUGCAAGUCGAACGGCAGCACAGGAGAGCUUGCUCUCUAGGUGACGAGUGGCGGACGGGUGAGGAAUACAUCGGAAUCUGCCCAGUCGUGGGGGAUAACGUAGGGAAACUUACGCUAAUACCGCAUACGACCUUCGGGUGAAAGAGGGGGAUCGCAAGACCUCUCGCGAUUGGAUGAGCCGAUGUCGGAUUAGCUAGUUAGCGGGGUAAUGGCCCACCUAGGCGACGAUCCGUAGCUGGUCUGAGAGGAUGAUCAGCCACACUGGAACUGAGACACGGUCCAGACUCCUACGGGAGGCAGCAGUGGGGAAUAUUGGACAAUGGGCGCAAGCCUGAUCCAGCCAUACCGCGUGGGUGAAGAAGGCCUUCGGGUUGUAAAGCCCUUUUGUUGGGAAAGAAAUCUUUCAGGCUAAUACCCUGGGAGGAUGACGGUACCCAAAGAAUAAGCACCGGCUAACUUCGUG
RNAcentral lists this ribosomal RNA (490 nucleotides) under uncultured bacterium. RNAcentral's name for it is "partial 16S ribosomal RNA". It matches the Rfam family "Bacterial small subunit ribosomal RNA", at positions 29 to 507 of the family's 1533-position model. The record is from RNAcentral.